ACCUACGGGACGCAGCAGUGGGGAAUAUUGGGCAAUGGGCGCAAGCCUGACCCAGCAACGCCGCGUGAAGGAAGAAGGCUUUCGGGUUGUAAACUUCUUUUAAGAGGGAAGAGCAGAAGACGGUACCUCUUGAAUAAGCCACGGCUAACUACGUGCCAGCAGCCGCGGUAAUACGUAGGUGGCAAGCGUUGUCCGGAUUUACUGGGUGUAAAGGGCGCGUAGGCGGGAUGGCAAGUCAGAUGUGAAAUCCGGGGGCUCAACCCCUGAACUGCAUUUGAAACUGUCGUUCUUGAGUACUGUAGAGG
Molecule: ribosomal RNA, 305 nt
Filed under: uncultured bacterium
Lineage: Bacteria
Description: bacterial SSU rRNA
Rfam family: Bacterial small subunit ribosomal RNA
Source: RNAcentral